CGAUUUCCAUCAUUAAAUUCAAAAUUCCCAAUCUGAAACCCUAGACCUAAAAGACGAACUUCAAUUCGUCUGAUUUCUCCCUUCGUUCUUUCAAAUCUGAGCAUGCAUGGUUGAUAUCUUCAGCUUCAUCAUCAUUAUUUUUUUUUCCAAAGGUCAAACGCAGUGACCUCUAGACAUUAGAGUCUAACCACUAGUUUGAAGACUUCAACGGUCGACCUUCUCUCUUCUCAAGUAAAAUAUUCUCACUGUUUUCCCCUCUAUUCUUCCUGAUUUCACUCAGUUUUCUCACAUCAUCAACUCAUCAUCAUCUUUCACUAUUGAUUUUGAAUUUUGUUGAACCCUAGAGGCAUUGAAUACCACUAUAAAAGGAGCUUUCAAUGCUCUCACCUAACAAUAUAAAAUACACCACGAAAUCACUUAACAAACAAAGAAGAUCAAUUUUAGUCUUGAGUAGUAAAAACUCAAGCUAGGGUUUUCUAACUAGCUUCUAAUUUUAUUCUAAUUCUUAGCCUUACACUGG
Molecule: long non-coding RNA, 520 nt
Filed under: Nicotiana tabacum (common tobacco)
Lineage: Eukaryota; Viridiplantae; Streptophyta; Magnoliopsida; Solanales; Solanaceae
Description: long non-coding RNA (NTAB_LNC015288)
Source: RNAcentral